This 321-nucleotide unclassified non-coding RNA is filed under the name Hevea brasiliensis (rubber tree). Lineage: Eukaryota; Viridiplantae; Streptophyta; Magnoliopsida; Malpighiales; Euphorbiaceae. The record is from RNAcentral.
CCAUCCCACAAACUAUAAACAUUUCACUCCAGUAGACACCGAAUGGAGGAGGUCCUCGCUCAAAGGCCUACAGUUCACAUUCAGCUGGCACGGCUUUUAAAGACAUCAAGUCCCAUCUCAGUUGGAUCAGUUGCCUGCAAUUCUACCUGAAUUCCAUCAAGUUCUCUCUUAAAUCUGUCUUUGGAGCUAGCGUAAAUCAUCUUGCUUCUCACCCUUGAUGUAUCAGGAGACCAUGCUAUGAAGAAAAUUCUGCUCUUUUGGCAAUUUUCUUCUGUGACAAAAUCAAAAUCAUAAACAGCAUAUCGGCACUCAUCAGCAGGA